Molecule: ribosomal RNA, 274 nt
Filed under: uncultured bacterium
Lineage: Bacteria
Description: partial 16S ribosomal RNA
Rfam family: Bacterial small subunit ribosomal RNA
Source: RNAcentral
AUACAGAGGGUGCAAACGUUGUUCGGAAUUACUGGGCGUAAAGCGCGCGUAGGCGGGCUGGUUAGUUGGGGGUGAAAUCCCAGGGCUUAACCCUGGAACUGCCUCCAAUACUGCCAGUCUAGAGUUCGAGAGAGGUGAGUGGAAUUCCUAGUGUAGAGGUGAAAUUCGUAGAUAUUAGGAAGAACACCAGUGGCGAAGGCGGCUCACUGGCUCGAUACUGACGCUGAGGUGCGAAAGCGUGGGGAGCGAACAGGAUUAGAAACCCCAGUAGUCC